This 913-nucleotide ribosomal RNA is filed under the name Microbacterium oleivorans. Its description in RNAcentral is "bacterial SSU rRNA". It matches the Rfam family "Bacterial small subunit ribosomal RNA", at positions 475 to 1384 of the family's 1533-position model. The record is from RNAcentral. Lineage: Bacteria; Bacillati; Actinomycetota; Actinomycetes; Micrococcales; Microbacteriaceae.
GUACCUGCAGAAAAAAGCGCCGGCUAACUACGUGCCAGCAGCCGCGGUAAUACGUAGGGCGCAAGCGUUAUCCGGAAUUAUUGGGCGUAAAGAGCUCGUAGGCGGUUUGUCGCGUCUGCUGUGAAAUCCCGAGGCUCAACCUCGGGUCUGCAGUGGGUACGGGCAGACUAGAGUGCGGUAGGGGAGAUUGGAAUUCCUGGUGUAGCGGUGGAAUGCGCAGAUAUCAGGAGGAACACCGAUGGCGAAGGCAGAUCUCUGGGCCGUUACUGACGCUGAGGAGCGAAAGGGUGGGGAGCAAACAGGCUUAGAUACCCUGGUAGUCCACCCCGUAAACGUUGGGAACUAGUUGUGGGGUCCAUUCCACGGAUUCCGUGACGCAGCUAACGCAUUAAGUUCCCCGCCUGGGGAGUACGGCCGCAAGGCUAAAACUCAAAGGAAUUGACGGGGACCCGCACAAGCGGCGGAGCAUGCGGAUUAAUUCGAUGCAACGCGAAGAACCUUACCAAGGCUUGACAUACACGAGAACGGGCCAGAAAUGGUCAACUCUUUGGACACUCGUGAACAGGUGGUGCAUGGUUGUCGUCAGCUCGUGUCGUGAGAUGUUGGGUUAAGUCCCGCAACGAGCGCAACCCUCGUUCUAUGUUGCCAGCACGUAAUGGUGGGAACUCAUGGGAUACUGCCGGGGUCAACUCGGAGGAAGGUGGGGAUGACGUCAAAUCAUCAUGCCCCUUAUGUCUUGGGCUUCACGCAUGCUACAAUGGCCGGUACAAAGGGCUGCAAUACCGCGAGGUGGAGCGAAUCCCAAAAAGCCGGUCCCAGUUCGGAUUGAGGUCUGCAACUCGACCUCAUGAAGUCGGAGUCGCUAGUAAUCGCAGAUCAGCAACGCUGCGGUGAAUACGUUCCCGGGUCUUGU